GAUGAACGCUGGCGGCGUGCCUAAUACAUGCAAGUCGAGCGAACAGACGAGGAGCUUGCUCCUCUGACGUUAGCGGCGGACGGGUGAGUAACACGUGGAUAACCUACCUAUAAGACUGGGAUAACUUCGGGAAACCGGAGCUAAUACCGGAUAAUAUAUUGAACCGCAUGGUUCAAUAGUGAAAGACGGUUUUGCUGUCACUUAUAGAUGGAUCCGCGCCGCAUUAGCUAGUUGGUAAGGUAACGGCUUACCAAGGCAACGAUGCGUAGCCGACCUGAGAGGGUGAUCGGCCAAACUGGAACUGAGACACGGUCCAGACUCCUACGGGAGGCAGCAGUAGGGAAUCUUCCGCAAUGGGCGAAAGCUUGACGGAGCAACGCCGCGUGAGUGAUGAAGGUCUUCGGAUCGUAAAACUCUGUUAUUAGGGAAGAACAAAUGAGUAAGUAACUAUGCACGUCUUGACGGUACCUAAUCAGAAAGCCACGGCUAACUACGU
Molecule: ribosomal RNA, 496 nt
Filed under: uncultured bacterium
Lineage: Bacteria
Description: partial 16S ribosomal RNA
Rfam family: Bacterial small subunit ribosomal RNA
Source: RNAcentral